AUACGGAGGAUCCAAGCGUUAUCCGGAUUUAUUGGGUUUAAAGGAUGCGCAGGCGGCCUUAUAAGUCAGUGGUGAAAUCUCCCGGCUCAACCGGGAAACUGCCAUUGAUACUGUAAGGCUAGAAUACAGACGAGGUAGGCGGAAUGUAGCAUGUAGCGGUGAAAUGCUUAGAUAUGCUACAGAACACCGAUCGCGAAGGCAGCUUACCAGACUGUAAUUGACGCUAAGGCACGAAAGCGUGGGGAGCGAACAGGAUUAGAAACCCUAGUAGUCC
Molecule: ribosomal RNA, 274 nt
Filed under: uncultured bacterium
Lineage: Bacteria
Description: partial 16S ribosomal RNA
Rfam family: Bacterial small subunit ribosomal RNA
Source: RNAcentral